ACCCCCAUGGCGCAAUGGACAACGCGUUCGACUUCUAAUCGAAAGAUUCUGGGUUCAAGUCCCAGUGGGGGUG
Molecule: transfer RNA, 73 nt
Filed under: bacterium
Lineage: Bacteria
Description: tRNA-Arg
Rfam family: tRNA
About the family: Transfer RNA (tRNA) molecules are approximately 80 nucleotides in length. Their secondary structure includes four short double-helical elements and three loops (D, anti-codon, and T loops).
Source: RNAcentral